UACGUAGGGACCAAGCGUUGUUCGGAUUCAUUGGGCGUAAAGGGAGCGUAGGUGGCGGGGUAAGUCAGGUGUGAAAUCUCGGGGCUCAACCCCGAAACUGCACUUGAUACUGCUUUGCUUGAGUACUGGAGAGGAGAUUGGAAUUUACGGUGUAGCAGUGAAAUGCGUAGAUAUCGUAAGGAAGACCAGUGGCGAAGGCGAAUCUCUGGACAGUUACUGACACUGAGGCUCGAAGGCCAGGGGAGCAAACGGG
This 253-nucleotide ribosomal RNA is filed under the name uncultured bacterium. Its description in RNAcentral is "partial 16S ribosomal RNA". It matches the Rfam family "Bacterial small subunit ribosomal RNA", at positions 524 to 776 of the family's 1533-position model. The record is from RNAcentral.